Molecule: long non-coding RNA, 761 nt
Filed under: Nicotiana tabacum (common tobacco)
Lineage: Eukaryota; Viridiplantae; Streptophyta; Magnoliopsida; Solanales; Solanaceae
Description: long non-coding RNA (NTAB_LNC000681)
Source: RNAcentral
UCCAAUAAGAAAGAGAAAUUAGUACCAUUUAUUUUUUACUUCUUCUUUUUCUCCUAAUUGCUUUCUGUUAUCCCAACUAAUGGCCAUCCACAUCCAACUAUCGCAGGUGCCAUCAUCCUCGACCUCUAUAACCAGGUAAACCAACUCUUCUCUUUGGUUUUGACUUUCUUAAUUUCUCUACCUAAUAAAAUUUUCUAACAUCAUUUACCAAUGCUCUAUUUUUUAGUUUAUAUGCAGGAGUUGAAUAACACAAGGAGCAACUCCACAAUCCUUUGAUGAGAAAAUCGUCUUUUGUUAUAAUUGAGGGCCUUAAUUUAUGGCUUAAGGAAGGAGUUCUUGAUAUUCUUUUGACGAUGAGGUAAAUUUCUAUUGAUAUAGUGUUUUUUUUCUAAAAUACUUUAUUUGUUCUUCAAAUUUUUUGAUGUAGGGUAUAUUGUAUAGUUAACGAUUUUGUAUAGAAGUUACUAUCUCUUUCUUAUUUUAUUAUUAUUGAUUCACUAAUUAAAGUUAUUUUUAUGACUUCAGUUUGAAGAUUUAUUUUAUUUAAAAUAAUGAAAUCAAAAGUAUUUAUAAUUUUUUUUCUUUACACAGGUAUAUGAAGGUCUAAAAAGUGUCUGGGAAGAUUGUAGAUAAGGGACGCUGCAUUGGCACAUGAGGAAGCAACAUGCUUGUCUUUUUUAGUUUACCAUUGUUCAUGUAUUUCAAUUAGACUUUUUAUGUAUUUCACAUGUUUUUCUUAGAAUAAUUAUAGAUGUAUUAGU